RNAcentral lists this ribosomal RNA (468 nucleotides) under uncultured bacterium. RNAcentral describes it as "partial 16S ribosomal RNA". It matches the Rfam family "Bacterial small subunit ribosomal RNA", at positions 28 to 507 of the family's 1533-position model. The record is from RNAcentral.
GACGAACGCUGGCGGCGUGCUUAACACAUGCAAGUCGAACGGAAAGGCCCUGCUUUUGUGGGGUGCUCGAGUGGCGAACGGGUGAGUAACACGUGGGUAACCUGCCCUUGACUUUGGGAUCACUUCAGGAAACUGGGGCUAAUACCGGAUAGGAGCUCCUGCUGCAUGGUGGGGGUUGGAAAGUUUCGGCGGUUGGGGAUGGACUCGCGGCUUAUCAGCUUGUUGGUGGGGUAGUGGCUUACCAAGGCUUUGACGGGUAGCCGGCCUGAGAGGGUGACCGGCCACAUUGGGACUGAGAUACGGCCCAGACUCCUACGGGAGGCAGCAGUGGGGAAUAUUGCACAAUGGGCGGAAGCCUGAUGCAGCAACGCCGCGUGCGGGAUGACGGCCUUCGGGUUGUAAACCGCUUUCGCCUGUGACGAAGCGUGAGUGACGGUAAUGGGUAAAGAAGCACCGGCUAACUACGUG